Molecule: transfer-messenger RNA, 581 nt
Filed under: Alphaproteobacteria bacterium
Lineage: Bacteria; Pseudomonadati; Pseudomonadota; Alphaproteobacteria
Rfam family: Alphaproteobacteria transfer-messenger RNA
About the family: Bacterial tmRNA, also known as 10Sa RNA or SsrA, is named for its dual tRNA and mRNA-like properties.
Source: RNAcentral
CAACUUGAAAAAUGUGAAAAGUGUUGUUAUAAAAUGCUUGUCAGGUAACUGACUAUGACACUAGAGGCGGUAUGAAAUAGGUAUAUUGGACCCGAGGGCAGUACUCGGCACCUCCACCAUUUUAUAUUGUAUAUAAGUGCUUGCCACUUAAAAACAAAAAGCGGAUAAGUGCUUUGCUGUGAUGAAAUUUUUUAUACGAAGUGUACAAAGAGGUACACGAGUAUAAAAAGUUGCAAGCAUGAAAGUACUUAAAAACAAAAAGCGGAUAAGUGCUUUGCUGCGCCGAAAUUUUUUAUACGAAGUGUACAAAAAGGUACACGAGUAUAAAAAGUUGCAAGCAUGAAAGUACUUAUACGAUUUUUAUGGGGGUGAAACAGGUUAGACAGUAUAUAAUAAAGAUACUUUUGCUGUGUUCGGCAAGAUACCACCGUUAUCGGUUCAAAAUAAAUGAACGCAAAUGAUAAUUUUGCACCUGUUGCAGUAGCUGCUUAAUUUAGGCGAUAGCAACAAAUUCAAAAUUCUUUUGACAUUGGUUUGUUAAAAGUGGGGAAUGAGCCACCUAGCAACAGAACGGCUCAUUU